Molecule: transfer RNA, 70 nt
Filed under: Sirembo imberbis (golden cusk)
Lineage: Eukaryota; Metazoa; Chordata; Actinopteri; Ophidiiformes; Ophidiidae
Description: tRNA-Pro
Rfam family: tRNA
About the family: Transfer RNA (tRNA) molecules are approximately 80 nucleotides in length. Their secondary structure includes four short double-helical elements and three loops (D, anti-codon, and T loops). Further hydrogen bonds mediate the characteristic L-shaped molecular structure. tRNAs have two regions of fundamental functional importance: the anti-codon, which is responsible for specific mRNA codon recognition, and the 3' end, to which the tRNAs corresponding amino acid is attached (by aminoacyl-tRNA synthetases). tRNAs cope with the degeneracy of the genetic code in two manners: having more than one tRNA (with a specific anti-codon) for a particular amino acid; and 'wobble' base-pairing, i.e. permitting non-standard base-pairing at the 3rd anti-codon position.
Source: RNAcentral
CAAAAAGUAUUUUAGUUAAGAAUACUAGCUUUGGGAGUUAGUGGUGGGAGUUAGAUUCUCUCCUUUUUGA